GAGCCUUUGGCACUACUAAUUUGACAGUAAUCACAUAUGAAUACAGUCAUCUUCCUGUUACAUGUGAAGUAUUUCAGAUUUAUGCCAGUGUCAAUAUGGGCAUUUCAGCUUGCAACCUUAUUUCAUAUUCCCUUUGUCCACUGCUAGUUGGUGAAAGAGACUGCUAAUGUAUGUGAAGAAGAAAAUUAACAUAAUGAGGAAAAAAUAUGAAAAAGCAACUGUAGCCCCAUGAAUAAUCCUGAAACUAUAUAUAAAUGUACAUAUUUGGGCAAAAAGCUGCAAUCAAGAAAACAAUCCAAUUACGUCUUUAUUUGUGAAUUAUGCUUCAAACGUUGAUUUCUUGUAUGGCUGCUUCAGGAGUCCCUGAGCAAGCAGCAGGACAGCAGCCUGGUCCCUCCCGCAGCCUGGUGCGGACAGCACGCGCCGAGAAGCAGCAUCUCGUCUCCUGCGAAAGAGUUCUUGGACCUUCACCAGAUGUGAUAAAGUUUGCACAUGAUGUGGUUUGAAGAAAUCCUUACCGGAGUCAUUCCGAUCCCCGUAAGAGAGGCGCAGGUCUGGGUAUAGCAGGAAGCUGUUUGUAUUUUCUGUACAAACAGACACACCGCACCCGCUGGGGAGAAGCUGUGAGAUUGCUUUGAGGGAGCCCUCAGCUUGCGGGCUUUUUCUCUCCAAAACAGCAAUUGUAUUACCAUUAAUAAACUCUCCUUGCAAAUCUAGGCUGAAAUAAGG
This 729-nucleotide long non-coding RNA is filed under the name Anser brachyrhynchus (Pink-footed goose). RNAcentral's name for it is "lncRNA (ENSABRG00000009554.1)". Lineage: Eukaryota; Metazoa; Chordata; Aves; Anseriformes; Anatidae. The record is from RNAcentral.